UACGGAGGGGGCUAGCGUUGUUCGGAAUUACUGGGCGUAAAGCGCACGUAGGCGGCUUUGUAAGUUAGAGGUGAAAGCCCGGGGCUCAACCCCGGAACAGCCUUUAAGACUGCAUCGCUUGAACGUCGGAGAGGUGAGUGGAAUUCCGAGUGUAGAGGUGAAAUUCGUAGAUAUUCGGAGGAACACCAGUGGCGAAGGCGGCUCACUGGCUCGGUACUGACGCUGAGGUGCGAAAGCGUGGGGAGCAAACAGG
This 253-nucleotide ribosomal RNA is filed under the name uncultured bacterium. RNAcentral describes it as "partial 16S ribosomal RNA". It matches the Rfam family "Bacterial small subunit ribosomal RNA", at positions 524 to 776 of the family's 1533-position model. The record is from RNAcentral.